Long non-coding RNA from Passer domesticus (house sparrow), 2903 nucleotides. RefSeq lists it as uncharacterized. The transcript has 2 exons. The record is from RefSeq and is a predicted model, not a curated record. Lineage: Eukaryota; Metazoa; Chordata; Aves; Passeriformes; Passeridae.
AUGAGCAGUUACCACAAGCACCCAGGGCUUCAAAAUUCCCUGUUUAGCACUGAAAUGGUCACAAAUAUGUGACCACGAGGCACUAAAGGCCGAGUGCUGUGGAUUUUUUGCAUUAUUUCUCUCAGCAGCCCUUUGCAGAGCAGGAGAAUCACCAAUGUGAUUGGGAAAAUAAAUGGCUUGCAGUACCUUUACACUGGGGCAGCUCACACUUCUGGGACCGGUAGCACCAGUGGCCCACUAAAAAACAGGAAAUAAAACAGGUGAAUGAAAAUCUGUACAAAUAAUGCCCCCCAAAAGCAGCAGGGCAAUGGGUUGGCAGCUCUGCCCCCUCCAGAUCCCCUCCUGAUCUCUCAUAAACCACUUUAUAGCCAUUAAUGGCCCCCCAAGAACCUGUGCUGGCAGGAAUCUUUAGAUUCAGAAUUCUGAAUGGGCUGCAGUCCUAAAGAAUUUGAUUUUCAAACCUUGGCUUCCUCAGCUUUCUUGAGGCAGAAGUUCCACAUUUGAAUAUAUGCAGUGUUACAGCAAAUUUCCUUUUAUCAGCUCUGCACUUGCCAGCCUCUCACAGACCUGUAAAUUCACUUAUCUCAGCCUGUUCCAGGAACUCCUUUGAAGUUUACCUGGGGAAGAAUUCUGGGAAAUGAAGGAUCUCACUUCCUGCAGCACCUGGGGAUCUUUGCUCUAACUCAGCCGUGCUCCCCACAGGGAUGGAUGCAAAAUUCUGCAGCAGAACAUCUGAAUUUUACUUUUUCAUUGUCAAAAGAAACACAAAAUUCAGAGGACAAGAGCUGAUUUAAUUUUAUGUGUUUGUCUAGUUAGGACAGUAGGAUUGUUUUGUUUAUCCCAAGUUGCUUCAGUGUUUCUUUAUUUAUUCUAAACUUUAAAUUGACUUUGACAGGGGUAGUUCUCUUUGGCUAUUUAACUUCAGUCCAUAACAAUUCAAACCCUCUUAUAAUGAUGAUUGAUACCACACCUUCUGUUUGCUUGUGAUUAGUAAAUUAUAGGCAUUUUAAUAAAUGGCUAAUCAAUUUUUAGGAUAAUUACGGAGGAGCCCUGUCACUUGACUGGUAAUUACCUUAAUUGGUAAUUUAUAACACACCUGCUGGAAGGCUUUUAACACCUUUAUCUUGAUAUCAGUGGCAUAACAAUGCACCCAUCCAUUAAGGGUUUAGAAGUUAUAAAUAGAGAAUUGUUGCAGAACCUGAGCAGCUGUGACACAGAGGGAGACCUCGUGGCAAUUAAUAUAACCUUAAAAAAUGACAGUUUCUGGUUUUCUUUCACAAAAACGAAAUUUCUGCUGAAAACUACAAACAAUGUUUCCUCACUUUGUAGCUUAGCAAGACUGGGAAGAAAAACAAACUUUGCUUUUUUUGUGUGGACUGUGGCACCGAGCUCUUCCUCAUCCCCACAGGAAAGUUUCCAGCACAGGAUGUCACAGUGCCUUAAUCAAUAUUGUAAUCAAUGAAUUAAAAUGAUUAAUUUCCAUUUGUUGCAGAAUGGCAGCUGAGCUGAUCUCCACGUGUGUUUUCACACGGAUCAAAGGCUCCAGGUGUGGUUCUGGCAGCUGCUCUGGGGUCGGUGUGAACUUUUAACAAUCCCAGCAGCCUGGGACUGGGAGUUUCUUGGCAAUUUACACACGAAGGAACCUUCAGGUGUGAAAAAAACCCAGCAGGAAUAACCUGGAAGGAUUUGCUGCCAAAUCUUUGGGAUGGAAAGCAGAGGGGGAAGGUGAGAGCUCCAGGCUGGGAGUUCCAGGAGGUUUCACAGUGGAGUGGGAGCAUGGCCUGGACAUCAAAGCAUUUCUGCAAAUCCGAUUUUCCAGGUGUGAGCCACAGCUGGGAGCCAGGACAGCAGCGUGGAGGCUGUGGGGAUUUUAAACCUCUAUGUGGAGAUUUUAAACCUCUACCCUGGAACCACCAAAUUCAAAGAGAGCCACAGGGGGAAGGGGAAUUAUCCCCAGAUUGUGCUGGUCCUGAGCCAGGGGAAUGGAAAUGGGUUCUGUCCCACCCUUCCCAAACACAGAAAUCUCAGAGUUUUUACCCCCUGAGUUUUUACCCCCUGAGUUUUUACCCCCUGAGGUGUCUGGCAAGUUGUGCCAAAUAAACCUCUCAAUAUUCACCUCUCAAUAAACUGACACUUGAGAACACCACAGAUCCUCCAGCCUGGGCGUCAAAAUGAUGGGGAGAAAAAGUUGAAUAAAAUAAAAUUUAAUUUUGAAAACCCAGCCCUCAGUGGCUACAGCUGCCUCACAUCCAGCACUCAGGAGUGUUUCAUAAUCAUUAUCUGAUUUUUGCAUCUUUCCACCAAAUUCCCAAUGUCUCUGAACAAGGUAAGAAUUGUGUUUGCUACCAAGUGCUUACCACACUUGUGGGUGGAUGAUAUCAGUGAAGUAGAAGAGCACAUAAAUCCAGCAUUUCAUAAGAGAAAUGUCCUUGAAGCUGUUAAACCUUGAAGAACGAGCUAAUUAAACAUUACAGAAUGCCUGAGCAAACAGUGGAUUCAUGUUUAGUGUGAAUUAGGGCUGGUUUUUUUGGUUUGGUUUUUUUUUUUUUGAUUGGCAGCAAUGGAACAUUGGGGAACAGGAGCCUUUGUGUGGCUGCUGCUCAGGCCCUGAGGAGGAAAAUUUACAUUUGGAUUUGAUGGGAGUGGGAUGUGAGCCUCCCUCCCUGUAGGAACCUUGCAUGACAAUGGCUCUUUCUUCCCCUGAGCUUUGGGGAAGCUCCUUGUCACAUCCAGGCAGCUCUCCCUGGUUUUAGGCAGGAUUAUGGCCUCAGGCACGUUGUCCAGGCCACUUGGAAUUGUCCAGAGGCUCCUGCCACUUCCCUUGGAAGAGUUUUGCACAGUGCAUUAGGCCACGCUGUCAGGAAAUGUUUCCUAUUUAAUAGCUUACAUUUUCCACUUCCUUA